UACAGAGGGUGCAAGCGUUAUCCGGAUUCACUGGGUUUAAAGGGUGCGUAGGCGGACAGGUAAGUCAGUGGUGAAAUCUCCGAGCUUAACUCGGAAACUGCCGUUGAUACUAUUUGUCUUGAAUAUUGUGGAGGUAAGCGGAAUAUGUCAUGUAGCGGUGAAAUGCUUAGAUAUGACAUAGAACACCAAUUGCGAAGGCAGCUUACUACACAACGAUUGACGCUGAGGCACGAAAGCGUGGGGAUCAAACAGG
Molecule: ribosomal RNA, 253 nt
Filed under: uncultured bacterium
Lineage: Bacteria
Description: partial 16S ribosomal RNA
Rfam family: Bacterial small subunit ribosomal RNA
Source: RNAcentral